Molecule: ribosomal RNA, 253 nt
Filed under: uncultured bacterium
Lineage: Bacteria
Description: partial 16S ribosomal RNA
Rfam family: Bacterial small subunit ribosomal RNA
Source: RNAcentral
GACGAACCGUGCGAACGUUAUUCGGAAUCAUUGGGCGUAAAGAGCGUGUAGGCGGUUCGGUAAGUCGGCUGUGAAAGUCCAGGGCUCAACCCUGGGAUGCCGGUCGAUACUGCCGGACUAGAGUUCGGAAGAGGCGAGUGGAAUUCCCGGUGUAGCGGUGAAAUGCGCAGAUAUCGGGAGGAACACCUAUGGCGAAGGCAGCUCGCUGGGACGUUACUGACGCUGAGACGCGAAAGCGUGGGGAGCAAUCAGG